ACGAGUGGCGGACGGGUGAGUAACACGUGGGUAACCUGCCCUUAAGUGGGGGAUAACAUUUGGAAAGCAGAUGCUAAUACCGCAUAGAUCACAAGAACCGCAUGGCUUCUUGGCUGAAAGAUGGCGUAUGCUAUCGCUUUUGGAUGGACCCGCGGCGUAUUAGCUAGUUGGUGAGGUAAUGGCUCACCAAGGCGAUGAUACGUAGCCGAACUGACAGGUUGAUCGGCCACAUUGGUGACUGAGACACGGCCCAAACUCCUACGGGCAGGCAGCAGUAGGGAAUCUUCCACAAUGGACGCAAGUCUGAUGGAGCAACGCCUGCGUGAGUGAAGAAGGCUUUCGGGUCGUAAAACUCUGUUGUUGGAGAAGAAUGGUCGGCAGACUAACUGUUGCCGUGCGUGACGGUAUCCAACCAGAAAGCCACGGCUAACUACGUGCCAGCAGCCGCGGUAAUAUGUAAGGUGGGCAAGUCGUUAUCCGGAAUUUAUUGGGCGUAAAGCGAGCCGCAGGCGGUUUUUUUAAGUCUGGAUGUGAAAGCCCCUCGGCUUUAACCGAACGAAGCGCUAUCGGCAAACUGGGUAAACUUUGAGUGCCAAGAGGAAGACAGUGGGACCCUCCAUGUGUAGCGGCUGAAAUGCGUAGAUAUAUGGAAGAACACCAGUGGGCGAAGGCGGCUUGUCCUGGUUCUGUAACUGACCGGCUGGAGGCUUCGAAAGCUAUGGGUUAAGCGAACAAGGAAUUAGAUACCCUGGUGAGUCCAUGCCGGUAAACGAUGAAUGCUAGGUGUUGGAGGGUUUCCGCCCUUCAGUGCCGCAGCUAACGCAUUAAGCAUUCCGCCUGGGGAGUACGACCGCAAGGUUGAAACUCAAAGGAAUUGACGGGGGCCCGCACAAGCGGUGGAGCAUGUGGUUUAAUUCGAAGCAACGCGAAGAACCUUACCAGGUCUUGACAUCUUUUGAUCACCUGAGAGAUCAGGUUUCCCCUUCGGGGGCAAAAUGACAGGUGGUGCAUGGUUGUCGUCAGCUCGUGUCGUGAGAUGUUGGGUUAAGUCCCGCAACGAGCGCAACCCUUAUGACUAGUUGCCAGCAUUUAGUUGGGCACUCUAGUAAGACUGCCGGUGACAAACCGGAGGAAGGUGGGGAUGACGUCAAAUCAUCAUGCCCCUUAUGACCUGGGCUACACACGUGCUACAAUGGAUGGUACAACGAGUUGCGAGACCGCGAGGUCAAGCUAAUCUCUUAAAGCCAUUCUCAGUUCGGACUGUAGGUUGCAACUCGCCUACACGAAGUCGGAAUCGCUAGUAAUCGCGGAUCAGCACGCCGCGGUGAAUACGUUCCCGGGCCUUGUACACACCGCCCGUCACACCAUGAGAGUUUGUAACACCCGAAGCCGGUGGCGUAACCCUUUAGGGAGCGAGCCUC
Molecule: ribosomal RNA, 1421 nt
Filed under: Lactobacillus larvae
Lineage: Bacteria; Bacillati; Bacillota; Bacilli; Lactobacillales; Lactobacillaceae
Description: 16S ribosomal RNA
Rfam family: Bacterial small subunit ribosomal RNA
Source: RNAcentral